This 857-nucleotide ribosomal RNA is filed under the name uncultured bacterium. RNAcentral's name for it is "bacterial SSU rRNA". It matches the Rfam family "Bacterial small subunit ribosomal RNA", at positions 56 to 897 of the family's 1533-position model. The record is from RNAcentral.
UGCAAGUAGAACGCUGAAGGAGGAGCUUGCUUCUCUGGAUGAGUUGCGAACGGGUGAGUAACGCGUAGGUAACCUGCCUGGUAGCGGGGGAUAACUAUUGGAAACGAUAGCUAAUACCGCAUAAUAGUAGAUGUUGCAUGACAUUUGCUUAAAAGGUGCAAUUGCAUCACUACCAGAUGGACCUGCGUUGUAUUAGCUAGUUGGUGGGGUAACGGCUCACCAAGGCGACGAUACAUAGCCGACCUGAGAGGGUGAUCGGCCACACUGGGACUGAGACACGGCCCAGACUCCGACGGGAGGCAGCAGUAGGGAAUCUUCGGCAAUGGACGGAAGUCUGACCGAGCAACGCCGCGUGAGUGAAGAAGGUUUUCGGAUCGUAAAGCUCUGUUGUAAGAGAAGAACGAGUGUGAGAGUGGAAAGUUCACACUGUGACGGUAUCUUACCAGAAAGGGACGGCUAACUACGUGCCAGCAGCCGCGGUAAUACGUAGGUCCCGAGCGUUGUCCGGAUUUAUUGGGCGUAAAGCGAGCGCAGGCGGUUAGAUAAGUCUGAAGUUAAAGGCUGUGGCUUAACCAUAGUACGCUUUGGAAACUGUUUAACUUGAGUGCAAGAGGGGAGAGUGGAAUUCCAUGUGUAGCGGUGAAAUGCGUAGAUAUAUGGAGGAACACCGGUGGCGAAAGCGGCUCUCUGGCUUGUAACUGACGCUGAGGCUCGAAAGCGUGGGGAGCAAACAGGAUUAGAUACCCUGGUAGUCCACGCCGUAAACGAUGAGUGCUAGGUGUUAGACCCUUUCCGGGGUUUAGUGCCGCAGCUAACGCAUUAAGCACUCCGCCUGGGGAGUACGACCGCAAGGUUGA